GCUCGACUGCGGGAUUCGUUGACGAGCACAUAAUAAUUGAGCCAACACUCGAAUUGAGGGAGGCUGACGCCUGAUUCAGUGCGGUUCCCUACGCGGGAAUUGCCGGAGAUGAAGGAAUGGUUCUUUUGGGAGCCGCAGGCCACCCACCUGUUGAAAACAGGUUCAAUUCAGUCGUUCGAAACGGUCAUUGCGGUUCCUUU
This 200-nucleotide non-coding RNA is filed under the name Acidobacteriota bacterium. RNAcentral's name for it is "Acidobacteria bacterium (activated sludge metagenome) 6S RNA". It matches the Rfam family "6S / SsrS RNA". From Rfam's summary of the family: E. coli 6S RNA was the first non coding RNA to be sequenced, but its function was unknown until recently. It consists of 184 nucleotides that fold into an extended hairpin structure with a large single-stranded internal bulge. Lineage: Bacteria; Pseudomonadati; Acidobacteriota. The record is from RNAcentral.